RNAcentral lists this ribosomal RNA (150 nucleotides) under Vibrio cholerae. RNAcentral's name for it is "partial 16S ribosomal RNA". It matches the Rfam family "Bacterial small subunit ribosomal RNA", at positions 1 to 143 of the family's 1533-position model. The record is from RNAcentral. Lineage: Bacteria; Pseudomonadati; Pseudomonadota; Gammaproteobacteria; Vibrionales; Vibrionaceae.
UUAAUUGAAGAGUUUGAUCAUGGCUCAGAUUGAACGCUGGCGGCAGGCCUAACACAUGCAAGUCGAGCGGCAGCACAGAGGAACUUGUUCCUUGGGUGGCGAGCGGCGGACGGGUGAGUAAUGCCUGGGAAAUUGCCCGGUAGAGGGGGA